AACGACUCUCGACAACGGAUAUCUCGGCUCUCGCAUCGAUGAAGAACGUAGCGAAAUGCGAUACUUGGUGUGAAUUGCAGAAUCCCGUGAACCAUCGAGUUUUUGAACGCAAGUUGCGCCCCAAGCCUUCGGGCUGAGGGCACGCCUGCCUGGGCGUCACGC
This 162-nucleotide ribosomal RNA is filed under the name Cathcartia villosa. RNAcentral's name for it is "5.8S ribosomal RNA". It matches the Rfam family "5.8S ribosomal RNA". Rfam says of the family: 5.8S ribosomal RNA (5.8S rRNA) is a component of the large subunit of the eukaryotic ribosome. The record is from RNAcentral. Lineage: Eukaryota; Viridiplantae; Streptophyta; Magnoliopsida; Ranunculales; Papaveraceae.